Molecule: long non-coding RNA, 878 nt
Filed under: Homo sapiens (human)
Lineage: Eukaryota; Metazoa; Chordata; Mammalia; Primates; Hominidae
Description: HSALNT0331084
Source: RNAcentral
AGGCAUUUGCUUCAGGUGAGCAGAGGGAUGACUUUCUGUCCCACAUCUGUGAAGAUCAGCUGUUGGUUUACAUUGCCAGGGUGAAAUUCAACAGAACUAAUUUAGGGUGAAGAUCUUGAGGCCCACAAGGAAUUUCCUUGUGGGAAAAUUGUGAGGAAGAGCAAUCACUGCACCCAGCCACCUCUAUAUACAUGUACACAAAGCCACACAGUUUACACAGUCACAGGUAUUUAAGUACACACUAUUCACACACAAAUACAUAUAUAGACACACAUGUACAGUCCGUCCAAAAUAUAUGUACAUAAAAGCACACUAUUACACCUUCAUAUGUGCACACACACACACACCCAGACUCACUUCAUACACACAUAGAUACAACAGCCACAGCUCCCCAUCACCUACACACACACACACACACCUGGACACCCAGCUCUAAUAUAAUCAGAUAGAGAUAUGCAUGCAGACAAAUUUGCCUGUAUAGUCAAACACAUAGGCAAAUAGAGAACGAGACACCACAUGAACAAAGGCAAACCUACACACAAAGACACAGAGCACACUUACGCAUAUAUCUAUAGACCCACCAUGGCACAUAUGGGUAAGUGCACACAGGCAAACUCACACACACGAGCAUGCACAGGCAGAGAACACAAAUGUACACUCCCAGGUGUCAUAAAGAACAGCCCAGCUUCGGCUUGGGAACGUCACAUCAGACAAUAGGAACGGCUGCACCGCGCGUUUCCUCGGCUGCCAGCUUCCCAGCCACAGAGGAUGCCUCACCUGCUAUGUCAGCUCCCCUCUGCCCCACCUCACAAGAAGCUCAGAAGCUGAGGAGUCACAGAGAGACCUCCCUACUGUGUCAGAGGUUAAUAAUCAGGGAA